AAGCUUAUGUACUUCCGAAAGCACGAAGGUCUCUGCACUUGUAAGUUAUUUUUAUUGAUGGAAUAUCCGAUUCGACGAUUGGCUUCAUUAGAUAUGACCUACGCUAUUAAAAUUAUUUAGAAAUCAAAUUUCAUAAUUUUUUUUAUUUCUUUUAUCUAGUGCUAGAGUAGUCUCAAAAUAAACGGCUACAAAUAAAAAUCUCAUAAACAUCAGCGAUAAAAAACUCAAAUUUUAAAUCAGAAGUAUUGUUCUUGUUCUUGAUAUUCAGUAGAAUUUUUUAUUAAAAUUCAUAUAAUUUAGAUUCUUCUACGUUGUUGAAUUUACACACCCGCCACAUCCUUUAAUUACUUAGUAAAUAAUGUUAGAAAAUUAUAAAAUUUAGUUUCUAAAUAGUUCUAAUAACGUAGAUUAUAUUUAGAAAAAAUUUCAAAUACCAUCCAUGUGGUUUCAUACUUUCUUACUUUAGUACCUUGUGGUUUAAAGUGUAUCAAUUUAGUAUCCUAUGGUUUUAUUUUUAUCUUUUCGUCAGCUUUUCUGUUAAUAUUUCGUUCAAUUAUAUACAAAAAAAACUUUAGAUACCACAAAAAUUGGUAGAAUCAAUGAUAAAAAGAUAAAAAUGAAACCACAUGAUACUAACUUGAUACACUUUAAACCACAUGGUACUAAAGUGAGAAAGUGCAAAACCACAAGAAUGAUAUUUGAAGUUUAUCUUGUUAUUUAAUAGAGCUGAUCGUUGAAUCGAAUAUCCGAUUAUCAAAACAACUAACAAGCACAAAAGCCUCCUUGCUUUCAAAAAUGCAGGAGACGUACUCUAAUGUUAAUAU
Molecule: long non-coding RNA, 824 nt
Filed under: Ananas comosus (pineapple)
Lineage: Eukaryota; Viridiplantae; Streptophyta; Magnoliopsida; Poales; Bromeliaceae
Description: long non-coding RNA (ACOM_LNC023743)
Source: RNAcentral